RNAcentral lists this long non-coding RNA (376 nucleotides) under Androctonus crassicauda. Lineage: Eukaryota; Metazoa; Arthropoda; Arachnida; Scorpiones; Buthidae. The record is from RNAcentral.
GGGUGGUAAAAAGGUUGACAGAAACCACCUCAAGCAAAAAGGGAGUUCUGUCAAACAACUCCGAAGAAUUACGAUAAUAGUAUGGAUGGUAUUUCGAUCAGUUUGCGAAUUUCGUCCACAAUAAUAAUAAAUCACUAAGAAUGUUUACAUCAGGUAUCCGCCAGAUAGUUGUGAAUCGAACACCUGCCUCGGCGAAGGUUCAAGAAAUAAACAUCUUUGUUCUUAGCCCGGGAAUAAGGGUCAAAAGGGCAUGGAUAUUUAAGAGCUAUUGCGCUCUUGUCCAGGGUCCUUGGUUUGCCUGCUUGUCAGUUCUCCGACUUUUGUCCUGUGAUUCGAGUUCCAUCAAGUCACAGCGAUCGUUUCGUCCGCUUUCCUG